GGUUUCUAUUAGGAUUUCUAAUUCUGAUAAGAGGCGGUUCGAUUCCGUUUGUGUCUCU
This 58-nucleotide transfer RNA is filed under the name Dicyathifer mannii. Its description in RNAcentral is "tRNA-Ser". The record is from RNAcentral. Lineage: Eukaryota; Metazoa; Mollusca; Bivalvia; Myida; Teredinidae.